Molecule: ribosomal RNA, 279 nt
Filed under: uncultured bacterium
Lineage: Bacteria
Description: partial 16S ribosomal RNA
Rfam family: Bacterial small subunit ribosomal RNA
Source: RNAcentral
UGCCAGCAGCCGCGGUAAUACGGAGGGGGCUAGCGUUAUUCGGAAUUACUGGGCGUAAAGCGCGCGUAGGCGGAUUAGUAAGUCAGUGGUGAAAGCCCGGGGCUCAACCCCGGAACUGCCUUUGAUACUGCUAGUCUUGAGUUCGAGAGAGGUGAGUGGAAUUUCUAGUGUAGAGGUGAAAUUCGUAGAUAUUAGAAAGAACACCAGUGGCGAAGGCGGCUCACUGGCUCGAUACUGACGCUGAGGUGCGAAAGCGUGGGGAGCAAACAGGAUUAGAUA